RNAcentral lists this ribosomal RNA (395 nucleotides) under uncultured bacterium. RNAcentral's name for it is "bacterial SSU rRNA". It matches the Rfam family "Bacterial small subunit ribosomal RNA", at positions 505 to 898 of the family's 1533-position model. The record is from RNAcentral.
GUGCCAGCAGCCGCGGUAAUACGUAGGUGGCGAGCGUUAUCCGGAAUUACUGGGCGUAAAGCGCACGUAGGCGGUCAUUUAAGUCUGACGUGAAAGCUCCUGGCUUAACUGGGAGAGGACGUUGGAGACUGGGUGACUUGAGGCGAUGAGAGGGGCGUAGAAUUCCCGGUGUAGUGGUGGAAUGCGUAGAUAUCGGGAGGAAUACCAGUGGCGAAAGCGGCGUCCUAGCAUUGGCCUGACGUUCAUGUGCGAAAGCGUGGGGAGCGAACGGGAUUAGAUACCCCGGUAGUCCACGCGGUAAACGAUGAACACUAGGUGUGGGGAGUGUUAAAACUGUCCGUGCCGAAGCCAACGCGUUAAGUGUUCCGCCUGGGGAGUACGGCCGCAAGGCUAAA